RNAcentral lists this ribosomal RNA (253 nucleotides) under uncultured bacterium. RNAcentral describes it as "partial 16S ribosomal RNA". It matches the Rfam family "Bacterial small subunit ribosomal RNA", at positions 524 to 776 of the family's 1533-position model. The record is from RNAcentral.
UACGGGGGGGGCAAGCGUUGUUCGGAAUUACUGGGCGUAAAGGGCUCGUAGGCGGCCAACUAAGUCAGACGUGAAAUCCCCCGGCUUAACCAGGGAACUGCGUCUGAUACUGGAUGGCUUGAGUAUGGGAGAGGGAUGUAGAAUUCCAGGUGUAGCGGUGAAAUGCGUAGAUAUCUGGAGGAAUACCGGUGGCGAAGGCGGCAUCCUGGACCAUUACUGACGCUGAAUCGCGAAAGCUAGGGGAGCAAACGGG